This is a long non-coding RNA of Vicia villosa (hairy vetch), 560 nucleotides long. RefSeq lists it as uncharacterized. The record is from RefSeq and is a predicted model, not a curated record. NCBI's taxonomy places the organism in Eukaryota, Viridiplantae, Streptophyta, Magnoliopsida, Fabales, Fabaceae. The transcript has 3 exons.
ACAUAGCACACAGUUUCUUACAUUAUUAAAGUGAUCAAACAAUUCUUUAUCACUUCCAUUCAAAUGAACCAAAACAUGACUAAAACUAUCAACUUUGUUUAUAUUAUGAUCCUAUUUCUUUCUCCAUUUCUUGCUGCAAUCGAAUAUCCUCCAUUUCAUUAUCCAUGUAACUUUGACUUCAAUUGUCUGUGGAUCGAUUGUGCUCCUGGAAAAGUUGGAAUGUGCCAUUUUGGAACAUGUUGUUGUGAUGACAGGAAACCUUCCACAUGGUAAUUAAAGUCAAUUGAUGGAGCUUCGCAUGGGAGAGAGGAUCUUUUUGUUUUUCUCUAUUAUGUAUGAGAUAUUUUUAAGAUUUUAAUAGUGUGUGUUAUUGAAGUGGUUAUGAUCUUUAAUAGUGUGUGAUAUUAGUGUAAGAUUUAAACUUUAUGAGAAUUUAUAGGAUUGAUAUCUAGUUCAACAUAACAGGGUCCUAUACAACACACUUUUGUUGUAACAAGCAAACUCCUAUAAAACAUACUUUGUUUGUAUCAAGCAAACUCGAGAAUGGUGAAUUUUCAAUA